GGGGCUAUAGCUCAGUUGGUAGAGCGCUUGAAUGGCAUUCAAGAGGUCAGGAGUUCGACUCUCCUUAGCUCCACCA
Molecule: transfer RNA, 76 nt
Filed under: Phenylobacterium haematophilum
Lineage: Bacteria; Pseudomonadati; Pseudomonadota; Alphaproteobacteria; Caulobacterales; Caulobacteraceae
Also listed under: 12 other names
Description: tRNA-Ala
Rfam family: tRNA
About the family: Transfer RNA (tRNA) molecules are approximately 80 nucleotides in length. Their secondary structure includes four short double-helical elements and three loops (D, anti-codon, and T loops).
Source: RNAcentral